This 296-nucleotide ribosomal RNA is filed under the name uncultured bacterium. RNAcentral's name for it is "partial 16S ribosomal RNA". It matches the Rfam family "Bacterial small subunit ribosomal RNA", at positions 333 to 645 of the family's 1533-position model. The record is from RNAcentral.
UGGGUCCUACGGGGCGCAGCAGUCGGGAAUAUUGCGCAAUGGAGGAAACUCUGACGCAGUGACGCCGCGUGCAGGAAGAAGGUUUUCGGAUUGUAAACUGCUUUAGACAGGGAAGAAAAAAGACAGUACCUGUAGAAUAAGCUCCGGCUAACUACGUGCCAGCAGCCGCGGUAAUACGUAGGGAGCAAGCGUUAUCCGGAUUUAUUGGGUGUAAAGCGAGUGCAGGCGGUUCAAUAAGUCUGAUGUGAAAGCCUUCGGCUCAACCGGAGAAUUGCAUCAGAAACUGUUGUAUCUGA